GCCGGCUCUGCUCAGGUGUGGUUGCCGGGGGCCUUACCGCUGGGCCCCGUGCUUGGACUCGCCGCUCGGGCGGUGCUCGCGUCGAAGGAGGCGGCUGGAAUCGCAGGGAGGCUGUCGGGUCUUGGGGUGGCCGAGGGGGCGGGGAAGUAUUGCGGGUGUUCUGCGGAGAUUGUGCAGGUCGCAGUUUACUUGAGCUGGAAAAAGAAAUCGGCCCCUUGUGAGGCGAUUUCGGAGGGGAAGGCAUCGUGUUCGCCAAAGGUGGAGGGCCAUUUCUGUCCUUAAGAGGAAAAAAACAGGCAUAACUGAUUUGGAAUCGGGAAAUGACACCAAAUUAUUUAGGGUGGUUAAAACACAAAGGGGUUGCAAAGAGCUCCAAAAGGAUCCCUUGGAGUUGUGUGAAUCGACAUCUCACUGUAAAUGCAGUUCGAUGGAAGCAAGUGUAAAAUAAUGCAUCUUGGGGCAAAAUAAAAGUAAAAAUCCAAA
This is a long non-coding RNA of Varanus komodoensis (Komodo dragon), 483 nucleotides long. RefSeq lists it as uncharacterized. Lineage: Eukaryota; Metazoa; Chordata; Lepidosauria; Squamata; Varanidae. The record is from RefSeq and is a predicted model, not a curated record. The transcript is spliced from 2 exons.